This 421-nucleotide ribosomal RNA is filed under the name uncultured bacterium. Its description in RNAcentral is "bacterial SSU rRNA". It matches the Rfam family "Bacterial small subunit ribosomal RNA", at positions 355 to 774 of the family's 1533-position model. The record is from RNAcentral.
UAAGGAAUAUUGGUCAAUGGACGCAAGUCUGCACCAGCCAUGCCGCGUGAAGGAUGAAGGUCCUCUGGAUUGUAAACUUCUUUUAUCUGGGACGAAAACGGGAUUUUUAUCUCAAUUGACGGUACCAGAGGAAUAAGCACCGGCUAACUCCGUUCCAGCAGCCGCGGUAAUACGGAGGGUGCGAGCGUUAUCCGGCUUUACUGGGUUUAAAGGGUGCGUAGGUGGGCUUAUAAGUCAGUGGUGAAAUCCUACAGCUUAACUGUAGAACUGCCUUGGAUACUUGGAUUCUUGAGUUCGGGAGAGAGAGACGGAAUUCCAGGUGUAGUGGUGAAAUACGUAGAUAUCUGGAAGAACACCAGUUGCGAAGGCGGUCUCUUGGUCCGACACUGACGCUGAGGCGCGAAAGCGUGGGGAGCAAACA